Molecule: ribosomal RNA, 492 nt
Filed under: uncultured bacterium
Lineage: Bacteria
Description: partial 16S ribosomal RNA
Rfam family: Bacterial small subunit ribosomal RNA
Source: RNAcentral
AGUGAACGCUGGCGGUAGGCCUAACACAUGCAAGUCGAACGGCAGCACAGUAAGAGCUUGCUCUUACGGGUGGCGAGUGGCGGACGGGUGAGGAAUACAUCGGAAUCUACUUUUUCGUGGGGGAUAACGUAGGGAAACUUACGCUAAUACCGCAUACGACCUGCGGGUGAAAGCAGGGGAUCUUCGGACCUUGCGCGAUUGAAUGAGCCGAUGUCGGAUUAGCUAGUUGGCGGGGUAAAGGCCCACCAAGGCGACGAUCCGUAGCUGGUCUGAGAGGAUGAUCAGCCACACUGGAACUGAGACACGGUCCAGACUCCUACGGGAGGCAGCAGUGGGGAAUAUUGGACAAUGGGCGCAAGCCUGAUCCAGCCAUACCGCGUGGGUGAAGAAGGCCUUCGGGUUGUAAAGCCCUUUUGUUGGGAAAGAAAAGCAGCAGGUUAAUACCCCGCUGUUCUGACGUUACCCAAAGAAUAAGCACCGGCUAACUUCGUG